RNAcentral lists this ribosomal RNA (1089 nucleotides) under Triticum aestivum (bread wheat). Its description in RNAcentral is "partial small subunit ribosomal RNA". The record is from RNAcentral. Lineage: Eukaryota; Viridiplantae; Streptophyta; Magnoliopsida; Poales; Poaceae.
AUGUUAGAACAAAACCUGAAUAUUCUGAGCUGGAACGUCCGUGGCUCGAAUUGUCCUGACCGUCGUACUGCUAUUCAUGAGACCAUCGCUGCUACUCCAUGCCACCUCGUCUAUUUACAAGAGACCAAGCUCGAGCUUGUUAACCCUUCCAUUGCUGCAUUUCUAGGUGGAUACAGACUGAAGAGCUUUGCUCAGCCAGCUUUGGGCACCCGUGGGGGCAUCCUUCUUCUUUGGGACGAGAAUUUUGUCUCUGUCCAUGAUGUUAGCAUCGGAGCCUUUUUCCUUUCAGCCAUGGUCACCAUCACCUCUACUAGUUCAUCCUUCAAACUAACAACUGUUUAUGGCCCGACGCGAAGCAAUCUGCAAGACGCCUUCUUCCAAGAAUUAGUUAGUGAGAAGCCCCCCCAUGGUGAUAAGCUGGUCAAUGGUGAUUUCAACCAAAUAUACCGGGCUAGAGACAAGAACCGUGCGAAUGUUGAUCGGAGUCGCAUCGUCCGCUUUCGCAACGCCCUCAAUGUGUGUGAGUUAAAAGAGAUACACCUUCAAAACCAAAAAUUUACUUGGAGUAAUGAGCGAAACGAUCCAACUUUGAGCAAGCUUGAUUCCUACUUUUGCAAUGAAGAUUGGGACCUUCAGUUCGGCACACACCUCCUGCAUGCUCUUUCCUCAUCACUCUCUGAUCAUUGCCCUCUCCUCCUUGCUAAUGAUAAAGGGCCUCCGAGGACCAAGUCGUUCCGAUUUGAAAACUUUUGGAUCAAAAUGCCCAGAUUCAAGGAUGUUGUCCAAGGUGCUUGGAACCAAGAGGUGAACCAUUUUGAUCCUUACCACAUCCUCUUCCAGAAGUUGAAAAAGACAAGUCAUGUUCUUAGAAAGUGGAGCAAGAUGAUUUUUGCGCAUUCAAAGGUGCAAAUUCACAUGGCCCUCGAGAUCAUUCUUCGCUUGGACGUGGCCCAAGAAUCCCGACCUUUAAGUGCUGAUGAGCGGGACAUUCAUAGGAGACUCAAGCGCAAGGUGCUUAGUUUGUCCGUGCUUGAACGCGCGCGAAAAAGGCAAUGUUCGAGGAUCACCAAUCUCAAAGAUGGAGAUGCU